This 121-nucleotide microRNA precursor is filed under the name Marmota monax (woodchuck). Lineage: Eukaryota; Metazoa; Chordata; Mammalia; Rodentia; Sciuridae. The record is from RNAcentral.
GUUUAAAGGCAUCUCUCUCUCUCUCUCUCUCUCUGUCUCUCUCUCUCUCUCACACACACACACACACACACAGAGAGAGAGAGAGAGAGAGAGAGAGAGAGAGAGAGAGAGAGAGAGCCCA